GUGGGGAAUCUUCCGCAAUGGACGAAAGUCUGACGGAGCAACGCCGCGUGAGUGAUGAAGGUCUUCGGAUUGUAAAGCUCUGUUAAUCGGGACGAAAGAGCCUAGUGUGAAUAAUGCUAGGAAGUGACGGUACCGGAAUAGAAAGCCACGGCUAACUACGUGCCAGCAGCCGCGGUAAUACGUAGGUGGCAAGCGUUGUCCGGAAUUAUUGGGCGUAAAGCGCGCGCAGGCGGAUCUGCCAGUCUGUCUUAAAAGUUCGGGGCUUAACCCCGUGAUGGGAUGGAAACUACAGAUCUAGAGUAUCGGAGAGGAAAGUGGAAUUCCAAGUGUAGCGGUGAAAUGCGUAGAGAUUUGGAAGAACACCAGUGGCGAAGGCGACUUUCUGGACGAUGUCUGACGCUGAGGCGCGAAAGCUAGGGGAGCGAACGGGAUUAGAAACCCGGGUAGUCC
This 450-nucleotide ribosomal RNA is filed under the name uncultured bacterium. Its description in RNAcentral is "partial 16S ribosomal RNA". It matches the Rfam family "Bacterial small subunit ribosomal RNA", at positions 354 to 796 of the family's 1533-position model. The record is from RNAcentral.